UCCAAUAUUUCUAUCUUAUUAGCACUAAUUUUGUAAAUAUUAGACUCAAAUCUUCAAGAAUCUAAUACGAUGGCUUAAUAAAUAUUAGUUCUUUCAAAAUCCAAUUUGUAGCAACCAAUCUAUCCACUCAGUUCGGUAGCAACGAAGUUAUCAAUCACAUUUUUCAACAAAGCUUCGUCAAUAUCUUUCCCUCAUUUUCUUUAUCAAUUACAACAUUUUUGACUUUAUUAUUUAAAGCAUUGAAAACCAUGUCUUGUUGCAAUAGUGAAGCAUUUCAACCUAAGAAUUUUAAUCCACAUUACACCAUAACACAACCACAAGAUUUUCAAAUUCAACUUUGGUAAUCUUUGAAAUAGCCUUUGCAAGUCUGCAACUUCUUAUCCAAAUCAAAUUAAUGUAAAAAUUAAGAAGAAUUAACCAAACUAAAUGAAACUAAUCAAAGCCUAAAAACAAAAAUUUUCAAACCCUAAAAUCACUAAGCUUAAUUUGACGGUGGUGGUGGUAGACGGAUUCACAAAUAACAAUGGGGUUUCUAUGUUGACCGCAUUUGUUGUGAUACCUUGCCAUCAUGUGGCUUUAGAGCGCAGCCAUGAGUUACUACCACUACUACUUUAGCUCCAUGACUCGCAGAUACUAUAAUGCUAUGGACAUGGAGAAGACGAAGCUUGGAUAAGACGAAGAAAGGAGAAAAAAAAGGAAAAAAAGAAAAAGAACCAGCAGAAGAUAAAGAAAGAAGGAGAGAAAGGGAAAAACAAACAAAAAAAAAGAAAAAUGUAAAUAAAUAAAAUAAAUCUAUUUUUCCAAUUGUACCUUUGUGUCAUUAGAGUUAAUGGCAAAAGUUGACGGUUUGUCACUGUAGGAGUAUUUUCGAAACAAUUGUCACUUAUGUGAUAAAUGUCGAAACAGAAAUUCUAGUUAUGCAACCCAAGAUAGGGGGGGUGAAUUGAGAUUCUAAAAAUUAUUCAAUUCUAAAAUAAAAUAUCAUGCAAAUCUAAAACAAAUUUAAAGCAAUAACAAUUAAAUCAGUCACAAUAUAAAAAGAUAAGGGAAGAGAGAUUCAAACACGAAGAUUUUUACGUGGUUCGGCCAACCUCGCCUACGUCCACGCCUCCAAGGUUUCCGGGCUUGAGGAUUUCACUAAGCAAGCCUCCAAGGCUUCAAAUGCUUACACUUGACUUCCAAGGUGUCAAUGAACCUUUAUAACAAGAGAUUAUCCUAAAUCUCUUAACCCAAGUGUAUCCCAACACUUACAAUCACUCAAAGUAAAAGAUUACAAAUUGUUUUUCUCUCACACAAUAUUUAAGAUUACAAAUCAAUGCCCAAAAUGUGAAUAAAUGAAGCAAGAAUGUGUUUAAAGCUCUAUGAAGAUUGUAUUCUUGAAUAUAAGCUCAAUGGUCGUGUUGUGAUCAAAUUUUGUUUGAAUUUGAAUGAGCUUAUUUAUAGUUGGAGCUGAAAACUAGCCGUUAUUGACUUUCUGCUCACUGUCAGAUUGCCGUUUGACUGCUCAAUAUGACCGUUGGGCUGAAUUUUUAAAUUGUCGGAUCGCCGUUAUCUAGAUGUCGGAUCACCGUUUAGGUCUAGAGGCUAAUCUUCAGUUCUGUUUGAUAUCGGCGGGCCGUUUAUCAGAAUUGUCAGAUCGUCGUUUAGGUCCAAAGGCUAAUCUUCAGUUCUGUUUGAUUUCGGCGAGCCGUUAUCAAGCUUGUCGAAUCGCCGUUUUCCACAUUUACUGCUGCAGUGAACUAUUUUGCAACAGAACAGUUUGUUUCCAAAUCUUUAUAAAAACAUUUUAUAAAACUUGUCAAAAUAGAUCCAUUUACAGGAUUUGAAACAAUAUUUGUUAUUAUCAAAACUCUCAAAGCUUUUUCAAUUGAAAACCAUUAACAUGAAAAUAACCAAAAAUCAUUUUCAUAGAAUAAAAGUGAGAAUGAUGAUUUAAAAAGUAUAUGAAAAUUAUUUUGAGCUUUUAAAAGAUUAAUCAAUCUAAAUCAAGUUUGUUAUCAUCAAAAUCAAUAAUAAAGAAAUAUUUAUGUUUAACAAUCUCCCCCUUUUUAAUGAUGACAAAUUGUUCAAGAAUAUAUUUGUGCAAUUUUGCUCCCCCUAAAUAUGUGCUCCCCCUGAGUAAAGAUUUUUAAGGAAUGUAACUUCCCUUAAAUAUGUGCCCAUCAAUUUUUAAUCUCAUAAAAAAUAAUUGUAAACUGAAUAGAUAAAUUAUCUCCCCCUUCAUCAUAAAAAGAAAUGAGCAUGAAAAGAUUUAAAAGCGAAGUUCAGAGAUUAAUCAUAUUGGAAAAAUUUCGGAAGAAUCUCCCCUUAAAAAUGAACAUAUCCUCAACAAUACAAAUAGUUUAAAAAAAAAAACUUCCAUAUAUAUAUAUGCCAACUUAUCAACCAACCUCCAUCCCAACAAUCAAACAUAUCAUCAGUAUAAUCAAGAACAAUUAUCAAACAUAUCAUCAAAAUCAACGCAAUCAUAAAUAAAGUCCACAUAUCCAACAAAAAAAAUCAUAAAAGCAUCACAAACACAAUAAAAAAAUAAGUGUCACAACGAACUACAUGAAAUGAGUAAUGUCUGUGCGAAAAUCAGAGGGGCAAAACACUAAGACGGGGGCUGUGAAGAAGAAUUGCCUGGGUCAUAACCAAAGUAACCAAGAAUGCGGCGCUGGCCAGCAAUUAACUCCAUUUGCUGAUCUAACAUUUACUGCCAAAAGGUCGCAAAGUCAGAUUGAAGCUGCUGGGACAGGACAUCCACUUUGUUAGAAAGUUGCUGAAAGCGAUCCGCAGGAACGGUCGAUGCUGUAGGAGGGACGACAGACUUGGCUGGCACGUCAUCCUGAGAGGAAGCUGUUGUUGAUGCUGGUGCUGGUGCUGGUGCUGAUACUGCUGGUGCUGCUCUGCGAGAGACACGUGGUCUAGCCCCAAGGCAGAAAUCGGGUAACUCAUCCUCGGAAUAGAUGUCAUUUAAUAUACGAUCAUUCGCUGGUGCAAGCAGAGUAUCUUCAUUCUUAGAGGAUAUUGUUUUUUCCCACUUUCCACGUUUCUUAAAAAAUUCGAUCACAGAAAUAAUCUCUCGACCGAGCUUACGGGUCUCGAGAUAAACAGGCUCAGUGAUAGGUACUCUAAAGAAUUUCAAGAUCCUAGUAAUGAUGCUGCCAUAGGGAAGAGAUCGGUUGGAGACUCUAGGUGUGGACCACAUAUGACAAAGGAUAGUGUAGGAUAAACUCACAUGCUGUCUAUGGAUGAUGGAAUCUAAUAAACCAACAUCAAGUCAAGUAACCUCAUUAGUGUGACCCUGUCUAGGGGUGACCAUGUGUUGGAGAAUGAUAUGAAGUAUUCGAAUUUGGAAAGUGAGGAGUUGAGACCUAAAGGACAAAGAACAGACUACGUCAUCGAAAAGUUCCUGACGCCUACAAAUGUUCCGUACACUAUCCACAUGACAGAAAUCACUAAAUUCAAGUUCUUUCCUAGCGGUGUAAAUGUUUAAGCGUCCAUAAGAAAUUCCAAGAAUACUACAUAAUUCUGAUUCAUCAAACGCAAUACGAAUUCCUCCUACGUAAGUAUAAAGUUCAACUUGACGGGAAGAGGAGAGUUCCAUAUUAGAAUAAAAGACACGGACUAGAUUUUCAUAGAUGGGCUCUUCUAUACUUAAGGCUUCACUCCAAUGGCUAAGCAAUUGAGUAAUAGUACGACCACAAAUGGUAAUAUCUGAAAACUCUGUAAUGUUAAGAGAAAAUGAGGGAGUUACCGGUUUGCCCAUGAAUUUGUCACGAAAUCGCUAAGCAGAGGUGUCAUUGGAAAAUUGGAGGCUCUUAAAGUCCUGAGAGGGAGGCUUGGAGGGACUGGAACGACGCGGAGCAGUGUGCUUGGCUCGAGCACGCCUCUAUGGUCGUUCUGCCAUUGAUGAGUUUGGAGAAUUUUGAAUUGGGAGAAAUAAAGUUUGAGUGAUGAGAGAGUAAUGACAAGUUGAAAUGUGAUUGAAAUUGGAAGAAAUUUGGCUCAAUUUUGGCGAGAGUACGGCUGGUUUCUAGGGUUGGAAAUUUGGGAUUUCUCAAAUUGUUAAUCAAAAACGAGUUUUGAUCGGUUAAAAAGGUUCUAAAGAAGAUGAGAAAGGUUUUGAAUGGUUAGAUUUGGUGAGAGAGAGUAAGAAAAAUGGUGGAUUUGAGAGAGAGAGAGCAAGAACGAAAUGAGAAAGAAGACGAAGGACUGUUCACUUAUCGCGGGAUAACGGCAAGCCGUUAUAGAUAUAUCGGUGAGCCGACAGCGUCCAGAGAGCUCCCCAAAAAUUUUCAUUAGGACAGCGAGCCGUUUAUAGAUAUAUCGGCAAGCCGACAGAGUCCAGAGAGUUUCCCCAAAAUUUUUCAUCAGGACGGCGAGCCGUUAAUGUGUUAUCGGUGAACCGAUAGCUUCCAGAAUGCUACCCAUUGUUUCUGCCCUAAAAUGGUUAGCUGUUUAUUGAAAUAACGGAAAUCCGUUUUCUACAACGUAUGAUUUCGCACAUUUAUUUUAGUAUUUGGCCAACAAUUAAUACAUUUCAAGAUCAUUUCAUUGAUCCAAAAUGAUUUAAGUGCCAAUUCAGUGCAUAAUUCAUGUACAUGUAUAUAUUUCAACAAUUUAUUUAUACAUUUUUCAAAAAUACACACACUUCACAUGUAUAUUGAGCAUUCCAUAGAUAUUAAAACAUCAAAUCAUAAAUCAAUCAAUUUUAAUAGACUCAAUAACAUGAAUUAGUAUGUUAAUGCGAAAAUUUCAUCAUCCCAAGUUCAUGCCGAAUUUUUGAAAAUUGUUCUUCGCAAAGUAGUUUUGUAAAAAUAUCAGCAAGUUGUUUUUUCGUAGAAAUAAACUCUAAUGCAAUAUCUCCCUUUUAAACAUGAUCUCUUAAAAAAUGAUGUUUUAUUUCUAUAUGCUUGGUUCGAGAGUGUUGAAUGAGAUUCUUUGAAAGAUUUAUAGCACUAGUAUUAUCACACUUAAUAAGAAUUUGUUCUAGGUUAAUACCAUAGUCUCUAAGUGAUUGUUUCAUCCAAAGAGCAUGUGCACAACAACUUUCUACAGCUAUAUAUUCAGCCUCGGUAGUUGAGAGUGCAAUAGAAUUUUGUUUCUUGCUAAACCAUGAAACAAGUGAAUGACCUAAGAUAUAGCAUGUUCUACUAGUGCUUUUCCUAUCAACUUCAUAACCAGCAAAAUCCGCAUCCGAAUAACAUGUUAAAUCUAUAUGAGUUCCCCUAGGAUACCAGCAUCCGAAUAACAUGUUAAAUCUAUAUGAGUUCCCCUAGGAUACCAGAGGCCAAUAUCUAUGGUUCCACUCAAAUAACGAAAAAUUCUUUUAACAAGCAACAAAUGAGAUGGGGUCUACUUGCAGUUAAAUAAAGUAAAGAUCCGAUCAUACCUCGAUACAUUUUGAUAUCCACUUUCUUGCCUUUUUCAUCUUUGUCAAGUUUGGUUGUUGUGCUCAUUGGAGUGUUUUUGGUCUUUGAGUCAUCAAUGCCGAAUCUUUUGAGUAGAUCUUUUACAUACUUGGCUUGAUUUAUGAAAAUUCCUUCCUCAUUUUGUUUUAUUUGCAGCCUAAGGAAGUACUUCAACUCUCCCAUCAUACUCAUUUCAAAUUCAUUACUUAUGCAAGAUGAAAAUUCUUUACACAACAAUUCAUUAGUAGAGCCAAAAAUAAUAUCAUCAACAUAAAUUUGAACAAGUAUGUCUUUGUCCUUAUAUUUGACAAAGAGAGUAGUAUUCGCUUUACCCAUUGAAAAAUCAUUUUCCAACAAGAAAUUUUUAAAUCUAUCAUACCAUGCUCUAGGUGCUUGUUUUAAGCCAUACAAAACUUUAAAUAACUUAUAGACAUGAUUUGGAAAUUUUUCAUUUUUAAAACCAGGGGAUUGUUUUACAUACACUUCUUCUAUUAUAAAAAAUUCAAAAAAGCACUUUUCACAUCCAUUUGAAAUAAAAUGAAAUCUUUAUGACAUGCAAAAGCCAACAACAUUCUAAUUGAUUCUAGUCUAGCUACGGGUGCAAAUGUUUCAUCAAAAUCAAUUCCUUUUUCUUGGUUCUAACCUUGAGCCACUAAUCUAGCUUUAUUUCUUACAACCACACCGGAUUCAUCCAUCUUAUUUCUAAAUAUCCAUUUAGUACCUAUGACGGAUUGAUGUUCCAGUUUAGGAACUAAUUCCCACACAUUGUUUCUUUCAAAUUGAUUUAACUCCUCUUGCAUUGCCAUAAUCCAAGAUUCAUCAUUUUCCGCAUUCGCAAAGGAAUUGGGUUCAAUUUGAGAAAUAAAUGCGUUAUGCUCACAAAUAUUUCUAAGUGAUGAUCUAGUUAUAACACCUCGUGAGGGAUCUCCUAAAAUUACAUCCUUAGGGUGAGAAGAAACAUACCUCCACUCCUUGGGGAGUGCUUGAGAAGUACCUUCAUGUUGCUCCAUAUUUGUUUGCUCUUCUUGUUCAUCCUCUUGAUUUCUUUGUGGUGCAUUAUGUUGUUUAUCCUUUGAUGGUUCUUCUUGUAACUCUCCAUCUGCAUCAUCAUAAUUUAUUCAUUUCUCCGCAGAGGAAGGGUUAGACUCAUCAAAUGUAACAUGCAUAGAUUCUUCUACAACUAGUGUAUUUUUGUUAUAAACUCUAUAAGCUUUGCUUGAGUUUGAAUAUCCAAGAAAAAUACCAACAUUAGAUUUUGGAUCAAAUUUGCCAAGAUUGUCUUUUGUGUUCAAAAUAAAACAUUUGCAUCCAAAAACUUUGAAAUAACCAAUAUUGGGUUUUCUAUGUUUCCAAAGCUCAUAUGGAGUUUUGUUGAGGUUAGGUCUAAUCAACACACGAUUUAAAACAUAACAAGCGGUAUUGACGGUCUCGGCCCAAAAAUACUUAGGCAAUGAAUUUUCAUUCAACAUAGUCAUAUCCAUUUCUUGAAUGGAUCUAUUCUUUCUCUCAACAACUUCAUUUUGUUGUGGAGUUCUAGGUGAUGAAAAUUGAUGCUUAAUGCCAAAAUCAUUACAAAAAAUCUCAAAUGUAUGAUUUUCAAACUCUCCUCCAUGAUCACUCCUAAUGCAUGCAAUACCAUACCCUUUUUCAUUUUGUAUUUUCUUACAAAACACUUUAAAGGCAUCAAGAGCAUCAUCCUUAUUGGCUAAGAAUAAUACCCAUUAAAAGCCUUAUAUAUUCUUUUUUUUNNNNNNNNNNNNNNNNNNNNNNNNNNNNNNNNNNNNNNNNNNNNNNNNNNNNNNAUGUGAAGAAGUUGAAGUGGUUUUGAAGUAUAAAAAUGAUUUUUAUUUUUGAAAGAUGUUUUGAUUUGUUUUCCAAAUUGACAAGCUUCACAAAUCUUAUCUUUUUGAAAACCAAUUUUUGGAAGACCUUUAACUAAAUCAUUUUUCAAAAUUUUCGAAAUCAAAUCCAUACUUGCAUGUCCUAACUUUUUAUGCCAUAACCAACUAUCAUCAUGCAAUGUGGAAAAGCAUUUAUCAAGAGUAGAUGCACAUUAUAUGUCAAUGAUAUAAACAUUAUCACAUCUAUUCCCAACAAAUAAGAUUUUGCCAUCACAUGAAUUCUCAAUAACACAACUAAAUUUAUCAAAGAUAACUUUAUAACCUUUGUCACAUAAUUGACUAAUACUAAUUAAGUCGUAUUUCAAGUUCUCAACCAAACAUACAUUCUCAAUUAGAGUUAAGGAAACUUUACCAACAUUUCCAAUAACACAACAAAUAAGAUUUUGCCAUCACAUGAAUUCUCAAUAACACAACUAAAUUUAUCAAAGAUAACUUUAUAACCUUUGUCACAUAAUUGACUAAUACUAAUUAAGUCGUAUUUCAAGUUCUCAACCAAACAUACAUUCUCAAUUAGAGUUAAGGAAACUUUACCAACAUUUCCAAUUCUAAGAAUUUUUCCUUUUGAGUUGUCUCCAAAAGAUACGUCUCCACCAUUUUCAAUUUUGAUGAAUCUUGAGAACCAUGCGUAGUUUCCGGUCAUAUGCCUUGAACAACCACUGUCCAAGUACAAUUUAUUUUUCUUCUUCUUCAAGCCCUAGAAAGAAAAUCUCAAGUUUUAGGUACCCAAAGCUAUUUGGGUCCUUGAGAGUUAGUAGUGAUUCCUUUUGGAACCCAAAUGCAUUUCAUACCAUAAUAUGCAUUUCUUUUUACUGGACAUCUAUUUUUCAUAUGACCAUCUUAAUUACAAAAAUGACAUACAAUUUGAUUGUUACUAGAUGUACUCUUCACAAAGUAGUUUUUAUAAUAUUUUUGUUUCAAGUUUGGCUUAUAACCAAUACCUCCUUUGUCAAACACACAUUUUUGUGAAUUAAGCAUGUUAUCCAACAUCUUUUGCCCAUUUGUAAAUUUCAAAACAAUCUCAUUCAACUCAUUGCUCUUUUUCUUAAGCGUUUCGUUUUCAUUUUUCAAAUCAUCUAUGUGUGAUUCUAAAUGCUCAUGUGAGAUGCUAGGUGUCUCAUUUGAUAAUGCAAUUUCAUUAUGCAAUGUUUUGUUCUCUACUUCUAGGCAUGUAAUUUUUGCAUUUAGAGAUUCAUUUUCAUUUUUAAGCUUUGCCAUUUCUUUUUUAAGACAUACAUUCUUUUUACCGAUCUUCAUCAACUCAUUAUGCAAUUCUUUAAAGGCAUCAUAUAAUUCAUCAUAAGUGGGAUCACUUACCUCAUUGAGAUCAUCAUCCCCUCCUAUUGUCAUAAGUGCUAGGUUUGAUACUUCUUGCGAUCCUUUUUCAUCACUUGAAUCUUCCUCACUAUCAUCCCAAGUUGCAACCAUGGCUUUCUUCUUGAGUUUGUUGAUAAGUGGGCACUUCGAUCUUAUAUGGCCAGGCUUCCUGCAUUCAUAGCAUGUGAUUACCUUUUUCUUUUCCCUUUGGUUCUUGAAGUUUCUGAAAUUUCUUCGCUCUCUGGUUUUCUUGAAGAAUUUUCUGAACCUCCUUGCUAGCAUGACCAACUCUUCAUCAUCCGGUUCACUCUCCCCAUCACUCUCAUAUUUUGAAGCUUUGAGAGCAAUGCUUUUCUUCUUCUCCUCAUGCCAUUUUUCUGCUGCCAAAUCUUCUUCAUAUGAAAUGAGAGAACCAAUUAAAUCAUCAAGAGAUAAAGUAUUUAAAUCUUUGGCCUCUUCAAUAGCGGUUCUUUUAGGUCUCCAUUAUUUUGGAAGUGACCUAAUGAUUUUCUUAACUUUUUCGCUAUUUGAGAAGGUCUUUCCUAGGGCUUUUAGGGUGUUUACUAUGUCCGUAAAUCUCGUAUACAUAGAGUACACACUCUCAUUUUGUUCCAUUUGGAACAACUCAUACUAUCUAGUGUACCUAUUAAUUUUCGACUUUUGCACUUGAUUUGUGCCUUUAUAAACUACUUCAAGUUUGUGCCAAAUUUCAUUGGCACUUUCACAACUAGAUACUCGAUGAAAUUCUUUCUUAUCAAGUGCACAAAAUAAAGCAUUCAUAGCUUUGGAAUUUAGAGAAGCUUUUAUCUUUUCCAAUUCAUUCUAUUCCCUUAAAGGUUUUGGAAUAUCUUCCCCGAAUUCAUUUUUAGUUAGGGGCAAAAAGGGACCAUCACAUACAACUUCCCAAAUUUCAUAAUUUAGUGCUUGUAAAUAAAUUUUCAUCCUAGUUUUCCAAUAUAGGUAGUCAUUUAAGUCAAAGAACGGUGGUCUAGUUGUGGAUUGUUCUUCCCUAAAGGUUGAGUCAUUUUGGGUUGUCAUGGAUCUUUUACUCUAGACGGUUAAGUCCUAACAAGAGAACCAAACUCUGACACCAAAUGAAAUUCUAGUUAUGCAACCCAAGAGGGGCGUGAAUUGAGAUUCUAAAAAUUAUUCAAUUCUAAAACAAAAUAUCAUGCAAAUCUAAAACGAAUUUAAAGCAAUAAUAAUUAAAUCAAUCAUAAUAUAAAAAGAUAAGGGAAGAGAGAUUCAAACAUGAAGAUUUUUACGUGGUUCGGCCAAUCUUGCCUAUGUCCACGCCUCCAAGCUUUCCGAGCUUGAGGAUUUCACUAAGCAAGCCUCCAAGGCUUCAAAUGCUUACACUUGACUUCCAAGGUGUCAAUGAACUUUUACAACAAGAGAUUAUCCCCAAUCUCUUAACCCAAGCGUAUCCCAACACUUACAAUCACUCAAAGUAAAAGAUUACAAAUUGUUUUUCUCUCACACAAUAUUUAAGAUUACAAAUCAAUGCCCAAUGUGUAAAUAGAUGAAGCAAGAAUGUGUUUAAAGCUCUAUGAAGAUUGUAUUCUUGAAUAUAAGCUCAAUGGUCGUGUUGUGAUCAAAUUUUGUUUGAAUUUAAAUGAGCUUAUUUAUAGUUGGAGCUGAAAACUAGCCGUUAUUGACUUUCUGCUCACUGUCAGAUCGCUGUUAACUAGAUGUCGGAUCGCUGUUUGACUGGUCAAUAUGACCGUUGGGCUGAAUUUUCAAAUUGUCGAAUCUCCGUUAUCUAGAUGUCGGAUCACCGUUUAGGUCCAGAGGCUAAUCUUCAGUUCUGUUUAAUAUCGGCGAGCCGUUUAUCAGAAUUGUCGGAUCGUCGUUUAGGUCCAGAGGCUAAUCUUCAAUUCUGUUCGAUUUCGGCGAGCCGUUAUCAAGCUUGUCGAAUCGCCAUUUUCCACAUUUACUACUGCAGUGAACAUUUUGCAAUAGAACAAUUUGUUUCCAAAUCUUUAUAAAAUCAUUUUAUAAAACUUGUCAAAAUAGAUCCAUUUACAGGAUUUGAAACAAUAUUUGUUAUUAUCAAAAUUCUCAAAGCUUUUUCAAUUGAAAACCAUUAACAUGAAAAUAACCAAAAAUCAUUUUCAUAGAAUAAAAGUGAGAAUGAUGAUUUAAAAAGUAUAUGAAAAUUAUUUUGAGCUUUUAAAAGAUUAAUCAAUUGAAAUCAAGUUUGUUAUCAUCAAAAUCAAUAAUAAAGAAAUAUUUAUGUUUAACAGAAACAUGUGUCACCCAAGUGACAUUAACUCUUUAUUGUUUUUGUUAUUUAUAUCAAUUGUUCUCGUUUUACCCUUUCAUUGUUACAAUUAAGGGCAAAAGUUAACAAAUUGUCAGAUGUCUGCCUAUUUUUAAAAAGUGUAGCACCUUUUUUAUAUUUGUUAAAAUGUGUGUCAUCCAAGUGAUAUAUAUAUAUAUAUAUAUGUGUGUGUGUGUGUGUGUGUGUGUGUGUGUGUGUGUGUGUGUGUGUGUGUGUGUGUAUGCAUGCAUGUAUGUAUAUGAGACAAGAUUAUUCCAUAUAGAUGUCAAAUCCAAAAAGAAGUACAAAAUUGAAUUUUAUUUAAAUGUUAUAAAAUUAAGUUCUUGUUUGUUGAUCAAUCUACUAUAAUAAAAAGGGCUAAUAUAUGUAAUGUUUUUCCCUUAAAA
RNAcentral lists this long non-coding RNA (11281 nucleotides) under Citrus x clementina. RNAcentral's name for it is "Citrus clementina (C. clementina) long non-coding RNA (CCLE_LNC006631)". Lineage: Eukaryota; Viridiplantae; Streptophyta; Magnoliopsida; Sapindales; Rutaceae. The record is from RNAcentral.